AGUUAUUGUAAUUAUGAUAGGAAAUCUCAGGGCAGCCACGAGCAGCACUCCAAGCAGUCCUUCCUUCCAGCCUCACCUCCAACUUUACGUAGCGUCGACGUAUAAGGCAACACUUGUUAUCACAUCAUGGCAAGUGAUCUGAUGGAACUAGGGUCGAGGUCGUUGAUCAGUGCCCUACAUAAACCUGUAGCGCCCCCUGGCUUGGAGUAUCUAGCUCAGCUAGACCAGGUUGCCAUACAACAAAUCGUUAAGAUGUGCGAGGUGAUGACUGCGUUAGAAUUCAAGAACAAGUACAUACUGAGGAACAGUGUGGGACAGGAGUUCUUGUUCGCUCAGGAGCACAGUACCUUCUGCAGCAGACAUUUCCUUGCCAACGUUCGCCCCUUCCAGACGGCCUUCACUAACAACUGUGGACAGGAAGUUAUGCGUCUCAACCGACCCUUGAAAUGCGCCAACUGCUGCAGCCCCUGCUGUUUACAGGUGCGCUGAGCGAUAGAC
Molecule: non-coding RNA, 498 nt
Organism: Cherax quadricarinatus
Lineage: Eukaryota; Metazoa; Arthropoda; Malacostraca; Decapoda; Parastacidae
Source: RefSeq, a predicted model, not a curated record